UCCGGUUUGUCACCGGCAGUCUCCCAUGAGUCCCCAACUUAAUGCUGGCAACAUGGGACGGGGGUUGCGCUCGUUGCGGGACUUAACCCAACAUCUCACGACACGAGCUGACGACAGCCAUGCACCACCUGUCACCCAGUCCGAAGAGGCCCCCAUCUCUGAGGGUUUCCGGGUGAUGUCAAACCCAGGUAAGGUGGGGAUGACGUUUACGUGCACUU
This 218-nucleotide unclassified non-coding RNA is filed under the name uncultured Actinomycetes bacterium. RNAcentral describes it as "uncultured actinobacterium contains 16S-23S intergenic spacer region". Lineage: Bacteria; Bacillati; Actinomycetota; Actinomycetes. The record is from RNAcentral.